RNAcentral lists this small RNA (1781 nucleotides) under Pan troglodytes (chimpanzee). RNAcentral describes it as "retained intron". The record is from RNAcentral. Lineage: Eukaryota; Metazoa; Chordata; Mammalia; Primates; Hominidae.
ACAAGUUCUACAAUGUGGAUUUGUUUCAGAGAGGUUUUUACCAGAUUCGUGCUUCUAUGAAAAUUCCAUCAAGAAUUCCCCACAGAGUAGAAGCUAGUUUGUUGCAUGCAACAGGUAUGACUUUAGCCUUUCCAGCCUCAGUUCAUGAUUCUCUAAUUUGCAGUAAAACAUUUCAAAUUUUGUACAAAAAUGAAGAGGUUGUUUUAAAUGAUGUUAUGAUCUUCAAAGUAAAAAUGCUAUUGGAUGAAAGAAAGAUUGAAGAAACCCUUGAGGAAAUGAAUUUUCUAUUAUCCUUGGAUCUACACUUCACAGAUGGAGAUUAUUCGGCAGAUGAUCUGAAUGCCUUGCAACUAAUAAGUAGCCGAACAUUGAAGCUGCACUUUAGCCCCCAUAGAGGCCUUCAUCAUCAUGUUAAUGUUAUGUUUGAUUACUUCCACCUUUCUGUUGUGUCUGUUACAGUUCAUGCAUCAUUGGUUGCACUACACCAGCCACUAAUAAGCUUUCCUCGCCCUGUGAAGACAACUUGGUUAAAUAGAAAUGCACCAGCACAAAACAAAGAUUCCGUGAUUCCUACUCUUGAAAGUGUGGUCUUUGGUAUUAACUACACAAAACAGUUAUCACCAGAUGGUUGUAGCUUCAUCAUUGCAGACUCCUUCCUGCAUCAUGCGUAUCGUUUUCAUUAUACACUUUGUGCCACUUUGCUGCUAGCCUUCAAGGGAUUGCACAGCUACUUCAUUACAGUAACAGAAGAGAUUCCUUCUUGUCAGAAACUAGAACUGGCCAAGGCCAACAUGCAGCUCCUAUAUGAGCGUCUUCUCAGAAGAAAACAGCUACGAACACAGAAAGACAACCAUCUAGAGGAAAUGGAUGUAGAAGCUCGACUUACUGAACUAUGUGAAGAAGUUAAGAAAAUAGAGAAUCCUGAUGAACUGGCAGAACUUAUAAAUAUGAAUCUUGCGCAACUUUGCUCACUUUUGAUGGCUUUAUGGGGACAGUUUCUGGAAGUUAUAACGCUACACGAAGAACUAAGAAUAUUAUUAGCACAAGAGCACCAUACUUUGAGGGUACGCAGAUUUUCUGAGGCAUUCUUUUGUUUUGAGCAUCCAAGAGAAGCUGCCAUUGCAUACCAGGAACUUCAUGCUCAGAGUCAUCUACAGAUGUGCACCGCUAUCAAAAAUACUUCCUUCUGCAGUUCUCUUCCACCCUUACCUAUUGAAUGUAGUGAAUUAGAUGGAGAUCUCAAUUCAUUACCUAUAAUCUUUGAAGAUAGGUAUUUAGAUUCAGUUACUGAAGGUAAGUGUAAUCUAACUAAAAUAUACAAGCUAUGUGUAUAGUUUUCAGUAUAUUCUUCCUAAUAUACAUAAAACCAUUCCCUAAUGUGGAAUAGUUUUUUUCCCUCUCUAGUUUUAUUUAUGUUUGAGGAUAUUAGAAAGUUAUAGUUAGAAAAAGAAGUCUUAAUCAUAUGAGUUCUCACACCUUGUUUUAAACGUGAAUCUUUUUUUCUUUGGAUAAAAGACUUAGAUGCACCCUGGAUGGGAAUUCAGAAUCUUCAGAGAUCAGAGUCCAGUAAAAUGGAUAAAUAUGAGACUGAAGAAAGCUCUGUAGCAGGACUUUCUAGCCCAGAGUUGAAAGUCAGACCUGCUGGUGCCUCCAGUAUUUGGUAUACAGAAGGUGAAAAGCAGCUAACAAAAUCUCUAAAAGGAAAGAAUGAAGAAUCAAAUAAAUCCAAAGUUAAGGUUACUAAGCUUAUGAAAACAAUGAAAUCUGAAAACACAAAAAAA